Molecule: ribosomal RNA, 428 nt
Filed under: uncultured bacterium
Lineage: Bacteria
Description: bacterial SSU rRNA
Rfam family: Bacterial small subunit ribosomal RNA
Source: RNAcentral
AUUGAACGCUGGCGGCAUGCCUUACACAUGCAAGUCGAACGGUAACAGGGAGCUUGCUCCGCUGACGAGUGGCGAACGGGUGAGUAACGUAUCGGAACGUACCUUUCAGUGGGGGAUAACGCAGCGAAAGUUGCGCUAAUACCGCAUAUUCUGUGAGCAGGAAAGCAGGGGAUCGCAAGACCUUGCGCUGAUUGAGCGGCCGAUAUCAGAUUAGCUAGUUGGUGAGGUAAAGGCUCACCAAGGCGACGAUCUGUAGCGGGUCUGAGAGGAUGAUCCGCCACACUGGAACUGAGACACGGUCCAGACUCCUACGGGAGGCAGCAGUGGGGAAUUUUGGACAAUGGGGGCAACCCUGAUCCAGCCAUGCCGCGUGAGUGAAGAAGGCCUUCGGGUUGUAAAGCUCUUUCGGCCGGGAAGAAAUCGCACAG